Molecule: ribosomal RNA, 254 nt
Filed under: uncultured bacterium
Lineage: Bacteria
Description: partial 16S ribosomal RNA
Rfam family: Bacterial small subunit ribosomal RNA
Source: RNAcentral
UACGUAGGGGGCGAGCGUUGUCCGGAUUCAUUGGGCGUAAAGAGCUCGUAGGCGGCUUGGCAAGUCGGGUGUGAAAACUUCAGGCUCAACCUGGAGCGGCCACUCGAUACUGCCAUGGCUUGAGUCCGGUAGGGGACCACGGAAUUCCUGGUGUAGCGGUGAAAUGCGCAGAUAUCAGGAGGAACACCGGUGGCGAAGGCGGUGGUCUGGGCCGGCACUGACGCUGAGGAGCGAAAGCGUGGGGAGCGAACAGG